CCCUGGCACAAAUGCUGUGUAUUUCAUUGCAAUUUAAUGAAAUUGCAAUGAAAUACACAGCAUUUGUGCC
This is a non-coding RNA of Paramuricea clavata, 70 nucleotides long. The record is from the annotation of a GenBank genome assembly. NCBI's taxonomy places the organism in Eukaryota, Metazoa, Cnidaria, Anthozoa, Malacalcyonacea, Plexauridae.